UCCUAUUUUUAUUUCAUUUUCCAAACAACUCUCUCUUUCCACUUUUCCCUAUUCCUUCGUCCUCUCUUGUUCUUCCCUCACAAUCCAGAAAAACCUCCUCCUCUGUUCUUCUGUCUCUCUCCGAUCAGAAUCUCCACUCCUCCUCUCUCUCAUUCAGAAUCAUGGAGCUUACAUGUCCCUGCGGGAAUGGAUAUCUAAUCAGGAAGGUAACAACAAAAGGCCCUAACAUGGGUCGUCCAUAUUACAAAUGCCCUGGUUUUGAUAAGGCAAGUCUUGAAAUAAUUUUUGUACACUUUUAUUUUAUGUUAUAUAUCUUAACAUUUAUUAUUUGACAGGAAAAUAACAUCAGUGAGUGAUUGUAAUUUCUACUCAUUUGAGGAUGAACUCAAGCACUGUCCCAGUGGACGUGGCUUUUGCCGCACAAUCUUUCGACAUAAAAAAAAAAUUGGUGUUGUUGUGUUAUGGGAGAUGGUGAUUGUAGAUUCUCUGAGAUUAUUACAUCAACCUGGCAACCGCCUUCGAGUUUCACUCCCGCGGCACAAUCUCUGUCUCCUUCCAGCCGAAGUCAGCCUCUUUCCAGUAACCAAGGAGCAAGGAGCAAUGUGAUGAGGAAGCAUGAACUACUUGUACGAUCUCCCGAAGUGGCUCAAACAAGUUCUGCGGUCUAUCUUGAUCUUAUUAAAGAAUUUGC
This is a long non-coding RNA of Lathyrus oleraceus (garden pea), 691 nucleotides long. RefSeq lists it as uncharacterized. The record is from RefSeq and is a predicted model, not a curated record. Lineage: Eukaryota; Viridiplantae; Streptophyta; Magnoliopsida; Fabales; Fabaceae. The transcript has 3 exons.